UGGCUCCCACAUCGAUGAAGAACGCAGCAAAAUGCGAUAAGUAAUGUGAAUUGCAGAACUCAGUGAAUCAUUGAAUCUUUGAACGCAUCUUGCACUCCAUAGUUUUCUGUGGAGUAUGUCUGUCUGAGUGUCAUGUACUUCUCAACUCUCUGUCUAUUUGCUUUGUUGAAUAUGACAGAAGAGCUUGGAUCAUGAGUGUCUGCUGGACUUGUGUAUCAGCUCACUCUAAACAAAUUAGCAGUCAUUUCUUGCUUUGAUGGUAUUACCCAGCAUAAUAGAUUUUUUCUGCUGGGGAACAUUCAUUACUUGAGUGCCACCAUAUUUAAGAGAUUGCUUCAAAUUCCCACUUGAUAUCAUUUUAAGUGUUAGACCUCAGAUCAGGCAGGACUACCCGCUGA
This 398-nucleotide unclassified non-coding RNA is filed under the name uncultured fungus. RNAcentral's name for it is "partial contains 5.8S ribosomal RNA and internal transcribed spacer 2". The stretch from base 1 to 133 matches the Rfam family "5.8S ribosomal RNA", at positions 22 to 154 of the family's 154-position model. The record is from RNAcentral. Lineage: Eukaryota; Fungi.